Molecule: long non-coding RNA, 1135 nt
Organism: Herpailurus yagouaroundi (jaguarundi)
Lineage: Eukaryota; Metazoa; Chordata; Mammalia; Carnivora; Felidae
Exons: 2
Source: RefSeq, a predicted model, not a curated record
GCGGCAGAGGCCGGGGCGCGGGCGGGCGGCCUGGGCUCGGUGGGCGAGCGGGCGGCAUCGGGCCGGCGAGCUGUGGGGGUGCGGGCGGCCGGGAGGGCCAGGGACUGGGGCAGACGGACGGCUAGGCGCGGCAGGCGGGGUCCGCACCCCGGGCCUGCUGGGGGCAACGACGGUGACUCGCUCUUUGUCUGCACUCGUUCCAAAAUGGCUGCGGCCGGAGCUGACGGGAGCGCCGGGCGGUCGAGGGAGGGAGGGAGGAUGGGAGGGAGGCCGUGCUCCCGAGGCCCGUCCGCCGCUGCCUUCGCGGGGCCGGAGCCGGGACAGGCGGGCGGCGGCGGCGCCACGGCUGCGGGCGGGCCGGGCCUGGCCGAGGACUGGCCUCGCGGCGUCGGUUGCGCGACUGCCGGGCGAGGCGGUGCGUCCUGGGCCCCGCGCGUCCCCGACCCCGUCCCCGUCCCCGUCCCCCCGCCGCGGCCCGAGCUUCCCCGGAGGGAGUGGCGCCCGGCCUGGGGCGGCACGGCUCCCGCACACGGGUAUCCAUAAAUCACUGGGGGAGCCGACAGCGCUUGUGGCGACCGGCAGUCCCGAGUCGGGAGCGGUCCUGUGUGGACGGCCUCUUCCUGUUUGCUCUGUUCCCUUUGACAAAGUGCGUGACCUAAACACUGUGCACGAGCAUCUCCGCUGUAGAACUGACUAGCUCAGGAAGGUUGGUGGUGCCAUCUCAGGGCACCCCUGCUUCUCCACACAGCCGUGGCUUCCUGCGUUCUCUGACGGGACCCCCCUCCCCCAGCCUCCGGUCAGCCUGCACUCUUGGACGCAGGCCAGCAUGGCUGCUCACCUCUGCAUCUGGCCUGCGCCCUGCAGGGGCGCUGAUCUCACCCGCAGACUGCUCCAGGGCACUGUCCUACAGGAAGUAUGGGCGGUUAAGUCUGCACCCCACCUCACCCCCUGUGGUCCCAUUUCCCUGCCAGGGGAGUCCCCGUCCCCUGCCCCCACCCCAGGGAAGAUGGGAGCCACAGUGCUCCCUGGAGCACUGCCCACCUUGAGAGUGAACAGGGGCAGUGAGGAAGCCAUGGGGCCACCUUGUGCGCCUUUUCAGUGUCUCUUCAAUAAAAUAGAGAAAGCAUCAGACACA